GGCUGGUCUGAGUGCAGUGGUGUUUACAACUAAUUGAUCACAACCAGUUACAGAUUUCUUUGUUCCUUCUCCACUCCCACUGCUUCACUUGACUAGCCUAAA
Aotus nancymaae (Ma's night monkey) is the source of this 102-nucleotide unclassified non-coding RNA. It matches the Rfam family "Y RNA". From Rfam's summary of the family: Y RNAs are components of the Ro ribonucleoprotein particle (Ro RNP), in association with Ro60 and La proteins. The Y RNAs and Ro60 and La proteins are well conserved, but the function of the Ro RNP is not known. NCBI's taxonomy places the organism in Eukaryota, Metazoa, Chordata, Mammalia, Primates, Aotidae. The record is from Ensembl.